RNAcentral lists this unclassified non-coding RNA (1191 nucleotides) under Hevea brasiliensis (rubber tree). Lineage: Eukaryota; Viridiplantae; Streptophyta; Magnoliopsida; Malpighiales; Euphorbiaceae. The record is from RNAcentral.
GCAGAACUGAUGUGGGACGCAUCAGUAUAUGUUAUUUUCAAGUAGUUGAUAGUUUGUUAAAAGGAGGGUAGUGUUGGUAUUCCUAAAAAUUUAUUAGGAUAAUAGUCUUUUAUUUGGUCAAAGAUUAGUUUUAGAAUAAAUAGAUAAGCAAAAUUAAGGGGCACCAGGCGAGUGUACUCCAGGAAAUUGGGGAUCAAUUGACUUCUUUUUUUUUCCCAAAUAUUCUUAUGUAUUUAUUUGUUUACAUUGCUCCUCAUAAAUCUAAUUAUUGAAAUCUCUUUUUGAUAAGAUUUAAAAUUAGUUGAGACGAAAAAAGCUUGUUGUGUAUUCAAAUUUUUAUCUACUUUUAAAACUCUGAUGUACCUAUUUUAAGUUAUGAACUUUACCAACACAAAAUGAUAUAACCAUAUAUGUCUGAUCAAUUGAUAAAUGUCUGUUUAGUUAUAUAUAGAGAUAUGUAUUUAAUAGCAUUAAUAGUGAUAUAAUUUUUUUUUUAUAGUUUUCAUGGUAUUAGAUUUCGCAGAGUCUAAUUAUAAGAUAUUAACAUUAUAAGUAGUUUUUUUAAUUUAUAAGUUAAAUCAAACAUAAUAUUUAUGACUUUUGAUUUAUUUUAAGUAAUAUUUUUAACGUAUAAGUCAAACCAAAUAUUAUUUUACCUAUGACUUUAUACUUAUAAGUAGUCCUGACUAACUUAUAAGUCAAACCAAUUACUCUCUUAGCCAAUCAAUGUAUAGCACCUGUGUGAAGUAUGAUCAUUUGCAAAUGCUUUAAAGAUGCACGUUUUUGUACAGAACUUGGGCGUGUUUAAAUUCAUAUGGAUAUUGAAUUUACAAGUGGUUAUUUCCUUGAGCUCAUGAACUAGAAGUUAGACCUGAACUGAUGAGUUAACUUAUGCUUGCUGAAUGUGUUAAGCAGUUAUCAUUUGUUAAAAAGAAUUCAAUGCAAUGGAAUUCUAUUUGGAUAAUUUUCUUGUUUAGAAAGUACAUGAUUCUAGAACUUUAUUCUUUCAACUUUCUGUUUAAUUUUAAAAGAUAUGUAAAUCGCGCCAAAAAUGUCAUGCAUUUACAACGAUCUAAUUCAUUUCAUGGGGCCCACUAUUGAAAUUAAAGCUCGUUUGGUUCACCAAAAACUGAUCCAAGAGUGAGAAUGAAAUGAAAAUGAUCCCCUUUGUGGGUGUUUUGGAAACUCCUU